This 302-nucleotide ribosomal RNA is filed under the name uncultured eukaryote. RNAcentral's name for it is "partial 18S ribosomal RNA". It matches the Rfam family "Eukaryotic small subunit ribosomal RNA", at positions 1470 to 1796 of the family's 1831-position model. The record is from RNAcentral.
CCCUUCGAUGUUCUGGGCUGCACGCGCGCUACAAUGAUAAAGUCAACGAGUAUUUUAGCUUGUGAGAGAUCACUGGCAAAUCUUAGAAACUUUAUCGUAUUAUGGAUUGCUGAUUGCAAUUAUUCGGCAUGAAACAGGAAUGCCUAGUAUCGGUGAGUCAUCAGCUUGCCGAGAUUACGUCCCUGCCCUUUGUACACACCGCCCGUCGUUUCUUCCGACUGAUACUCAUUGUGAGUUGCAAGGACCCUUUAUUGGGAAAUUGCUGCAAAUGCUUUGUAUUGGAGGAAGAAAAAGUCGUAACA